Molecule: ribosomal RNA, 420 nt
Filed under: bacterium
Lineage: Bacteria
Description: partial 16S ribosomal RNA
Rfam family: Bacterial small subunit ribosomal RNA
Source: RNAcentral
UGGGGGAUAUUGCACAAUGGGCGAAAGCCUGAUGCAGCGACGCCGCGUGGGGGAUGAAGGCUUUCGGGUUGUAAACCUCUUUCGCUAUCGAACAAGGCCCGCUUAGGGUGGGUUGAGGGUAGGUGGAGAAGAAGCGCCGGCUAACUACGUGCCAGCAGCCGCGGUAAUACGUAGGGCGCGAGCGUUGUCCGGAAUUAUUGGGCGUAAAGGGCUUGUAGGCGGCUUGUUUCGUCUGCUGUGAAAACGCGGGGCUUAACUUCGCGCGUGCAGUGGGUACUGGCAGGCUUGAGUGUGGUAGGGGUGACUGGAAUUCCAGGUGUAGCGGUGGAAUGCGCAGAUAUCUGAAGGAACACCGAUGGCGAAGGCAGGUCACUGGGCCAUUACUGACGCUGAGGAGCGAAAGCAUGGGUAGCAAACAGG